AUGUUGACCCCUCCCAGAAGAGCAACAAAAGAAUCAGCUGUUUCCUGCCCCGCCCAAGCGGCUCUGGGAGACUCUGAGGCUGCCAGUCUCCACCGGGGCAGAAGGAGCAAGGACGUCUUUCAGCGCGCGCAAAGUUUGCUGGAGUUGCAGGACAGAGAUGCACUUGGCCUGGGUGCAGGAGACGGCAGAGGAAUCAGGUCUGCAGGUAGAGGCUGUCCAGAGCACUUGGUUUUCUUGUUGCUGCUCUUUAUGUUCUGCAUUCCACCCUCUCCUCAGAUCCAUGGUUUGCAAAUCAUUUUGCCUUUUCCUUCCUUUGAUAUGCUCUUUGGUGCACAGUUUUAAAUUUUGAUGUAGC
Molecule: long non-coding RNA, 355 nt
Organism: Fukomys damarensis (Damara mole-rat)
Lineage: Eukaryota; Metazoa; Chordata; Mammalia; Rodentia; Bathyergidae
Source: Ensembl